This 508-nucleotide ribosomal RNA is filed under the name uncultured bacterium. RNAcentral's name for it is "bacterial SSU rRNA". It matches the Rfam family "Bacterial small subunit ribosomal RNA", at positions 1 to 507 of the family's 1533-position model. The record is from RNAcentral.
UCGUACGACGAGUUUGAUCAUGGCUCAGAUUGAACGCUGGCGGCAGGCCUAACACAUGCAAGUCGAGCGAGAAAGGUCUUCGGACUGAGUACAGCGGCGGACGGGUGAGUAAAGCGUAGGAAUCUACCUGGUAGUGGGGGAUAACUUGGGGAAACUCAAACUAAUACCGCAUACGCCCUACGGGGGAAAGCGGGGGACCUUCGGGCCUCGCGCUAUCAGAUGAGCCUGCGUAGGAUUAGCUAGUUGGUGAGGUAAAGGCUCACCAAGGCGACGAUCCUUAGCUGGUCUGAGAGGAUGAUCAGCCACACUGGGACUGAGACACGGCCCAGACUCCUACGGGAGGCAGCAGUGGGGAAUAUUGCGCAAUGGGCGAAAGCCUGACGCAGCCAUGCCGCGUGUGUGAAGAAGGCCUUAGGGUUGUAAAGCACUUUCAAUUGGGAAGAAAGUUGGUCGUUAAUAGCGGCCAGCCCUGACAUUACCUUUAGAAGAAGGACCGGCUAACUCCGUG